This 941-nucleotide ribosomal RNA is filed under the name uncultured bacterium. RNAcentral's name for it is "bacterial SSU rRNA". It matches the Rfam family "Bacterial small subunit ribosomal RNA", at positions 57 to 952 of the family's 1533-position model. The record is from RNAcentral.
GCAAGUCGAGCGCACUGGCCCAACUGAUCUGACGUGCUUGCACAGAAGUGACCACUGUAUUACCAGUGAGCGGCGGACGGGUGAGUAACACGUGGGCAACCUGCCCUGAAGCGGGGGAUAACAUUUGGAAACAGGUGCUAAUACCGCAUAACAACGAAAACCACAUGGUUUUCGUUUCAAAGAUGGUUUCGGCUAUCACUUCAGGAUGGGCCCGCGGUGCAUUAGCUUGUUGGUAGGGUAACGGCCUACCAAGGCAAUGAUGCAUAGCCGAGUUGAGAGACUGAUCGGCCACAAUGGAACUGAGACACGGUCCAUACUCCUACGGGAGGCAGCAGUAGGGAAUCUUCCACAAUGGGCGCAAGCCUGAUGGAGCGACACCGCGUGAGUGAAGAAGGGUUUCGGCUCGUAAAGCUCUGUUGUUGAAGAAGAACGUGCGUGAGAGUAACUGUUCACGCAGUGACGGUAUUCAACCAGAAAGUCACGGCUAACUACGUGCCAGCAGCCGCGGUAAUACGUAGGUGGCAAGCGUUAUCCGGAUUUAUUGGGCGUAAAGCGAGCGCAGGCGGUUGCUUAAGUCUGAUGUGAAAGCCUUCGGCUUAACCGAAGAAGUGCAUCGGAAACUGAGCGACUUGAGUGCAGAAGAGGACAGUGGAACUCCAUGUGUAGCGGUGGAAUGCGUAGAUAUAUGGAAGAACACCAGUGGCGAAGGCGGCUGUCUGGUCUGCAACUGACGCUGAGGCUCGAAAGCAUGGGUAGCGAACAGGAUUAGAUACCCUGGUAGUCCAUGCCGUAAACGAUGAGUGCUAGGUGUUGGAGGGUUUCCGCCCUUCAGUGCCGCAGCUAACGCAUUAAGCACUCCGCCUGGGGAGUACGACCGCAAGGUUGAAACUCAAAGGAAUUGACGGGGGCCCGCACAAGCGGUGGAGCAUGUGGUUUAAUUC